This 407-nucleotide ribosomal RNA is filed under the name uncultured bacterium. Its description in RNAcentral is "partial 16S ribosomal RNA". It matches the Rfam family "Bacterial small subunit ribosomal RNA", at positions 28 to 526 of the family's 1533-position model. The record is from RNAcentral.
GACGAACGCUGGCGGCGUGCCUAAUACAUGCAAGUAGGACGCAGUUGCGAACGGGUGAGUAACGCGUCGGUCACUACCUAUUAGAGGGGGAUAACUAUUGGAAACGAUAGCUAAUACCGCAUACUAGUAGAUGGAACUGCGUUGUAUUAGCUAGUAGGUAGGGUAAAGGCCUACCUAGGCAACGAUACAUAGCCGACCUGAGAGGGUGGACGGCCACACUGGGACUGGGACACGGUCCAGACUCCUACGGGAGGCAGCAGUAGGGAAUCAUCUGCAAUGGUGGGAACCCUGACCGAGCAAAGCACCGUGAGUGAAGAAGGUUUACGGAUCGUAAAGCGCUGUUAGUCAGGAAGCGGUACUUACCGAGAAAGGGACGGCUAACUACGUGCCAGCAGCCGCGGUAAUUC